This 2929-nucleotide ribosomal RNA is filed under the name Salmonella enterica subsp. enterica serovar Kentucky. RNAcentral's name for it is "23S ribosomal RNA". It matches the Rfam family "Bacterial large subunit ribosomal RNA". Lineage: Bacteria; Pseudomonadati; Pseudomonadota; Gammaproteobacteria; Enterobacterales; Enterobacteriaceae. RNAcentral also lists the same sequence under 1 other name. The record is from RNAcentral.
GGGUUGUGAGGUUAAGCGACUAAGCGUACACGGUGGAUGCCCUGGCAGUCAGAGGCGAUGAAGGGCGUGCUAAUCUGCGAUAAGCGCCGGUAAGGUGAUAUGAACCGUUAUAACCGGCGAUACCCGAAUGGGGAAACCCAGUGUGACUCGUCACACUAUCAUUAACUGAAUCCAUAGGUUAAUGAGGCGAACCGGGGGAACUGAAACAUCUAAGUACCCCGAGGAAAAGAAAUCAACCGAGAUUCCCCCAGUAGCGGCGAGCGAACGGGGAGGAGCCCAGAGCCUGAAUCAGCAUGUGUGUUAGUGGAAGCGUCUGGAAAGGCGCGCGAUACAGGGUGACAGCCCCGUACACAAAAGCGCAUGUGCUGUGAGCUCGAUGAGUAGGGCGGGACACGUGGUAUCCUGUCUGAAUAUGGGGGGACCAUCCUCCAAGGCUAAAUACUCCUGACUGACCGAUAGUGAACCAGUACCGUGAGGGAAAGGCGAAAAGAACCCCGGCGAGGGGAGUGAAAAAGAACCUGAAACCGUGUACGUACAAGCAGUGGGAGCACAGGUUUACCUGUGUGACUGCGUACCUUUUGUAUAAUGGGUCAGCGACUUAUAUUCUGUAGCAAGGUUAACCGUAUAGGGGAGCCGCAGGGAAACCGAGUCUUAACCGGGCGUUAAGUUGCAGGGUAUAGACCCGAAACCCGGUGAUCUAGCCAUGGGCAGGUUGAAGGUUGGGUAACACUAACUGGAGGACCGAACCGACUAAUGUUGAAAAAUUAGCGGAUGACCUGUGGCUGGGGGUGAAAGGCCAAUCAAACCGGGAGAUAGCUGGUUCUCCCCGAAAGCUAUUUAGGUAGCGCCUCGUGAAUUCAUCUCCGGGGGUAGAGCACUGUUUCGGCUAGGGGGCCAUCCCGGCUUACCAACCCGAUGCAAACUGCGAAUACCGGAGAAUGUUAUCACGGGAGACACACGGCGGGUGCUAACGUCCGUCGUGAAGAGGGAAACAACCCAGACCGCCAGCUAAGGUCCCAAAGUCAUGGUUAAGUGGGAAACGAUGUGGGAAGGCCCAGACAGCCAGGAUGUUGGCUUAGAAGCAGCCAUCAUUUAAAGAAAGCGUAAUAGCUCACUGGUCGAGUCGGCCUGCGCGGAAGAUGUAACGGGGCUAAACCAUGCACCGAAGCUGCGGCAGCGACGCUGAUGCGUUGUUGGGUAGGGGAGCGUUCUGUAAGCCUGUGAAGGUGGCCUGUGAGGGUUGCUGGAGGUAUCAGAAGUGCGAAUGCUGACAUAAGUAACGAUAAAGCGGGUGAAAAGCCCGCUCGCCGGAAGACCAAGGGUUCCUGUCCAACGUUAAUCGGGGCAGGGUGAGUCGACCCCUAAGGCGAGGCCGAAAGGCGUAGUCGAUGGGAAACGGGUUAAUAUUCCCGUACUUGGUGUUACUGCGAAGGGGGGACGGAGAAGGCUAUGUUGGCCGGGCGACGGUUGUCCCGGUUUAAGCGUGUAGGUGUGUGUUCCAGGUAAAUCCGGUUCACUUUAACACUGAGGCGUGAUGACGAGGCACUACGGUGCUGAAGCAACAAAUGCCCUGCUUCCAGGAAAAGCCUCUAAGCAUCAGGUAACAUCAAAUCGUACCCCAAACCGACACAGGUGGUCAGGUAGAGAAUACCAAGGCGCUUGAGAGAACUCGGGUGAAGGAACUAGGCAAAAUGGUGCCGUAACUUCGGGAGAAGGCACGCUGACACGUAGGUGAAGUGAUUUACUCACGGAGCUGAAGUCAGUCGAAGAUACCAGCUGGCUGCAACUGUUUAUUAAAAACACAGCACUGUGCAAACACGAAAGUGGACGUAUACGGUGUGACGCCUGCCCGGUGCCGGAAGGUUAAUUGAUGGGGUCAGCGCAAGCGAAGCUCCUGAUCGAAGCCCCGGUAAACGGCGGCCGUAACUAUAACGGUCCUAAGGUAGCGAAAUUCCUUGUCGGGUAAGUUCCGACCUGCACGAAUGGCGUAAUGAUGGCCAGGCUGUCUCCACCCGAGACUCAGUGAAAUUGAACUCGCUGUGAAGAUGCAGUGUACCCGCGGCAAGACGGAAAGACCCCGUGAACCUUUACUAUAGCUUGACACUGAACAUUGAGCCUUGAUGUGUAGGAUAGGUGGGAGGCUUUGAAGUGUGGACGCCAGUCUGCAUGGAGCCGACCUUGAAAUACCACCCUUUAAUGUUUGAUGUUCUAACGUGGACCCGUAAUCCGGGUUGCGGACAGUGUCUGGUGGGUAGUUUGACUGGGGCGGUCUCCUCCUAAAGAGUAACGGAGGAGCACGAAGGUUGGCUAAUCCUGGUCGGACAUCAGGAGGUUAGUGCAAUGGCAUAAGCCAGCUUGACUGCGAGCGUGACGGCGCGAGCAGGUGCGAAAGCAGGUCAUAGUGAUCCGGUGGUUCUGAAUGGAAGGGCCAUCGCUCAACGGAUAAAAGGUACUCCGGGGAUAACAGGCUGAUACCGCCCAAGAGUUCAUAUCGACGGCGGUGUUUGGCACCUCGAUGUCGGCUCAUCACAUCCUGGGGCUGAAGUAGGUCCCAAGGGUAUGGCUGUUCGCCAUUUAAAGUGGUACGCGAGCUGGGUUUAGAACGUCGUGAGACAGUUCGGUCCCUAUCUGCCGUGGGCGCUGGAGAACUGAGGGGGGCUGCUCCUAGUACGAGAGGACCGGAGUGGACGCAUCACUGGUGUUCGGGUUGUCAUGCCAAUGGCACUGCCCGGUAGCUAAAUGCGGAAGAGAUAAGUGCUGAAAGCAUCUAAGCACGAAACUUGCCCCGAGAUGAGUUCUCCCUGAGACUUAAAGUCUCCUGAAGGAACGUUGAAGACGACGACGUUGAUAGGCCGGGUGUGUAAGCGCAGCGAUGCGUUGAGCUAACCGGUACUAAUGAACCGUGAGGCUUAACCUUACAACGCCGAAG